UUACAUACUUAUCCCAAGUCAACUUCAACAAGAAUCUAUCGUCUUUUUUUCACAGACUUCAGUUUAACAGUGAUUUUUAAACACAAUGUAAAUAUUCAAAAGGUUUUUGAGUCUUGUUAUAGCAUCGUAUGUUCUUUUGUUUGUGUUUGCUUUAUUUGGACUUUAAUGAAAGAUAAAGAGAAGGAGUCCAAGCAGCAGAUGGAUCAUUCCCAGUCUGAUAGAAGAAGCAUCACUUGUGGUUGUAGAGAGAGUGGUUGUAGUUGAUGUAGCAGUUGUAGCUGAGGCAGUGGUUGUAGUUGAUGCAGCAGUUGUAGUUGUCGUGUUUGUCGUUGGGGUUGUGGUUGUAGUUGUAGUUGGUGCGGUGGUUGUAGUUAUAAUCAUUGGAGAUGUAGUGGGGGCAGUGGUUGUAGUUGUAGCUGUUGUAGUUGUAGUUGGGGCGGUGGUUGUAGUUGUAGUUGGGGCAGUGGUUGUAGUUGAUGCAGCAGUUGUAGUGGUUGUAGUUGUAGUUGGGGUGGUGGUUGUAGUUGUGGCGGUGUUUGUAGUUAUAGUCGGGGCAGCGGGUGUAGUUGUAGUGGGGGCAGUGGUUGUGGUUGUAGUUGGCGCGGUGCUUGUAGUUGUAGUUGGGAUGGUGAUUGUAGUUGGGGCAGCAGUUAUAGUUGUAGUGGGGGAAAUGGUUGUGGUUGUAGUUGCGGUGGUGGUUGUAGUUGGGGCGGUGGUUGUAGUUGUAGUUUUGGCAGUGGUUGUAGUUGUGGUUGGGGUAGUGGUUGUGGUUGUAGUUGCGGCUGUGGUUGUACUUGGAGUGGUGGUUGUAGUUGUAGUUGGGGCAGUGGUUGUAGUUGUACUUGAGGUGGUGGUUGUAGUUGUAGUUGGGGCGGAGUUUGUAGUUGUAGAUGGGGCAGCGGUUGUAGUUGUAGUAGGGGCAGUGGUUGUGGUUGUAGUUGCGGCGGUGGUUGUAGUUUGGGAGGUGGUUGUAGUUGUAGUUGGAGCAGUGGUUGUGGUUGUAGUUGGAGCUGUGGUUGUAGUUGGAGCAGUGGUUGUAGUGGUAGUUGGGGAGGUGGUUGUAGUUGUAAUUGGGGCAGCGGUUGUAGUUGUAGUGGGGGAAGAAGUUGUGGUUGUAGUUGCGGCGGUGGUUGUAGUUGGGGCGUUGGUUGUAGUUGUAGUAGGGGCAGUGGUUGUGGUUGUAGUUGGGGUGGUGGUUGUAGUUGGGGCGGUGGAUGUACUUGGGGCGGUGGUUGUAGUUGUAGUUGGAGCAGUGGUUGUAGUUGGAGCAGUGGUGGUAGUUGUAGUUGGGGUGGUGGAUGUACUUGGGGCGGUGGUUGUAGUUGUAGUUGGAGCAGUGGUUGUAGUUGGAGAUGUGGUGGUAGUUGUAGUUAGGGUGGUGGUUGUAGUUGGGGCAGCGGUUUUAGUUGUAGUUGCGGUGGUGGUUGUGGUUGUAGUUGGGGCAGUGGUUGUGGUUGUAGUUGCGGUG
This is a long non-coding RNA of Oreochromis aureus, 1468 nucleotides long. The record is from Ensembl. Lineage: Eukaryota; Metazoa; Chordata; Actinopteri; Cichliformes; Cichlidae.